AUUGAACGCUGGCGGAAUGCUUUACACAUGCAAGUCGAGCGGCAGCACGGGGGCAACCCUGGUGGCGAGCGGCGAACGGGUGAGUAAUACAUCGGAACAUGCCCAGUCGUGGGGGAUAACACUUCGAAAGAAGUGCUAAUACCGCAUACGUCCUGAGGGGGAAAGCGGGGGAUCGCAAGACCUCGCGCGAUUGGAGUGGCCGAUGUCAGAUUAGCUAGUUGGUGGGGUAAAGGCCUACCAAGGCAACGAUCUGUAGCUGGUCUGAGAGGAUGAUCAGCCACACUGGGACUGAGACACGGCCCAGACUCCUACGGGAGGCAGCAGUGGGGAAUUUUGGACAAUGGGGGCAACCCUGAUCCAGCCAUUCCGCGUGAGUGAAGAAGGCCUUCGGGUUGUAAAGCUCUUUCGGCAGGAACGAAACGGUGAGCUCUAACAUAGCUUGCUAAUGACGGUACCUGAAGAAGAAGCACCGGCUAACUACG
RNAcentral lists this ribosomal RNA (482 nucleotides) under uncultured bacterium. RNAcentral describes it as "partial 16S ribosomal RNA". It matches the Rfam family "Bacterial small subunit ribosomal RNA", at positions 30 to 505 of the family's 1533-position model. The record is from RNAcentral.